CCUACGUGCGGCAGCAGUAGGGAAUAUUGCUCAAUGGGGGCAACCCUGAAGCAGCAACGCCGCGUGGAGGAUGACUGUUUUCGGAGUGUAAACUCCUUUUGUUAGAGAAGAUAAUGACGGUAUCUAACGAAUAAGCACCGUCUAACUCCGUUCCAGCAGCCGCGGUACUACGGAGGUUGCAAGCGUUACUCGGAAUCACUGGGCGUAAAGCGCGCGUAGGCGGGAUAGCAAGUCAGAUGUGAAAUCCUAUGGCUUAACCAUAGAACUGCAUUUGACACUGUUAUUCUAGAGUACGGGAGAGGUAGGUGGAAUUCGUGGUGUAGCGGUAAAAUCCGUAGAGAUCAAGAGGAAUACUCAUUGCGAAGGCGACCUGCUAGAAUAUAACUGACGCUGAUGCGCGAAAGCGUGGGGAGCAAACAGGAUUAGAUACCCUAGUAGUC
Molecule: ribosomal RNA, 440 nt
Filed under: uncultured bacterium
Lineage: Bacteria
Description: partial 16S ribosomal RNA
Rfam family: Bacterial small subunit ribosomal RNA
Source: RNAcentral